Molecule: ribosomal RNA, 420 nt
Filed under: uncultured Pseudomonas sp.
Lineage: Bacteria; Pseudomonadati; Pseudomonadota; Gammaproteobacteria; Pseudomonadales; Pseudomonadaceae
Description: bacterial SSU rRNA
Rfam family: Bacterial small subunit ribosomal RNA
Source: RNAcentral
AAGAACCUUACCAGGCCUUGACAUGCAGAGAACUUUCCAGAGAUGGAUUGGUGCCUUCGGGAACUCUGACACAGGUGCUGCAUGGCUGUCGUCAGCUCGUGUCCGUGAGAUGUUGGGUUAAGUCCCGUAACGAGCGCAACCCUUGUCCUUAGUUACCAGCACGUUAUGGUGGGCACUCUAAGGAGACUGCCGGUGACAAACCGGAGGAAGGUGGGGAUGACGUCAAGUCAUCAUGGCCCUUACGGCCUGGGCUACACACGUGCUACAAUGGUCGGUACAAAGGGUUGCCAAGCCGCGAGGUGGAGCUAAUCCCAUAAAACCGAUCGUAGUCCGGAUCGCAGUCUGCAACUCGACUGCGUGAAGUCGGAAUCGCUAGUAAUCGUGAAUCAGCAUGGCGCGGUGAAUACGUUCCCGGGCCUU